RNAcentral lists this ribosomal RNA (501 nucleotides) under uncultured bacterium. RNAcentral's name for it is "partial 16S ribosomal RNA". It matches the Rfam family "Bacterial small subunit ribosomal RNA", at positions 29 to 523 of the family's 1533-position model. The record is from RNAcentral.
AUCGAACGCUGGCGGCAUGCCUUACAUAUGCAAGUCGAACGGCAGCACGGGUGCUUGCACCUGGUGGCGAGUGGCGAACGGGUGAGUAAUACAUCGGAACGUACCUUAUCGUGGGGGAUAACGCAGCGAAAGCUGUGCUAAUACCGCAUACGCCCUGAGGGGGAAAGCGGGGGAUCGAAAGACCUCGCGCGAUUAGAGCGGCCGGUGCCUGAUUAGCGUGUUGGUGGGGUAAAAGCCCACCAAGGCGACGGUCAGUACCUAGUCUGAGAGGACGAUCAGCCACACACGGACUGAGGCACGGCCCAGACUCGUGCGGGAGGCAGCAGUGUAGAGUUUAGUACAGUGGGGGCAACCCUGUUCCAGCAAUGCCGCAUGAGUGAAGAGGGCCUUCAGUUUGUAAAGCUCUUUUGUCAGGGGAGAAACACCGGCUCUAACACGGUCCGGGAAUGACGGUACCUGAAGAAUAAGCACCGGCUAACUACGUGCCAGCAGCCGCAGUAG